UUACUAUAUCAAAGAAUUGCCAU
This 23-nucleotide small nuclear RNA is filed under the name Arabidopsis thaliana (thale cress). RNAcentral describes it as "snRNA_09287". Lineage: Eukaryota; Viridiplantae; Streptophyta; Magnoliopsida; Brassicales; Brassicaceae. The record is from RNAcentral.